AAAUGCAUCCAUUAAGGCUGCACAGACGGGCCUAACUACGGUUUCGAAUCUGGACUCAUCAUGGACUCCUCCUCUGAGUCCCAGACAGAACCUGAGAAAACUCUGCACAAUGCAGAGUCCAGAGAGCAUCAUGCCGCCUCGGCUGCCGUAGCGAGUGGUGAUGAGCCCGGCCUUCUGACCCCAGGCAGGAUGAGCCAGCGGCAGGUUAAGGAGAAGGACAAGGAGAGGGAGAAGGAGGCAGGCCUCCAAACCCCCAGCAGGGAGCACAUGGCAUCCCCCUCUGCUCUGAGCCCUGGGGUCAGCUACAGCCACGAGCCGAGCUGAAGCUCUGCUCUGGGUGAUGCAUGCAGAGCUUCACAUCCUCUGCAGCAACUGUUCAUUAAUAUUUAUUAUUACUAAGUACCGUAUUUUCACGACCAUAGGGCGCACUGGGUUAUAAGGCGCAGUCUCAGUCAUGGGUGAUUUUUCAGUAUUUGACACAAAGGCGCAACGGGUGUUAGAGCGCAGGAAUGUUAAAAUAAAAAUGCUAGUGUUGAAACUUUCCUGUGAUAAGUCUAUGAAUCUACUACUGUGACAUUCCUUCGAUGAUGUUUCUGACCGCAGGGGAGAUCCUUUCCAGGGCCGACGGCGGAUCUUCCUUCGGGGUUCAGACCCUCGGAGCCUUCAGAGCGGGUUAAUAAAAGAACCAGUCUCCGUUCUUUUAGAGGAAACGUUUUUUAUUACUGUUCUCCGUGACUGAUUAACACAAAUGGAAUGGGUGCCCAUGCACACACUCCGGGUCUGUCUCGGAUUGUGUUCCAGUCUUGUUGCCGUGCGGCUCCUAAUGAAUGAUGCUGGCUUUUCUGCACUUCAAAAACAGUGCAAACAGACACGUUAGCCCAAUCUUACAAUCUAUUCACAAACUGUGGUGUAACUCGCCUGGCGCUGCCUCCCACAACAAUAAAAGCUUACUUUCCCUGCCCCUACUGUGUUACAGCGACUCAAUGGGAUAUUGAAAGUCUGCUGCGCCUUGUCCAUGUUGGUGAUGAGGCUGGAGGCGUUUGUCGGCAAUCUUUUUACUGCAGUAUGAGCGGAAGAUGAACAGCUUUUCAUUGCAAUCCGCUAGAAGUCCCUGCAGCACCAUAUAUAUUGAAUGGUGACUGCGGAGAAGCUUUUCUAAGAUGAUCGCUGAUCGUUAAUCCAUCGCUCGAUCUGAUCGUUGAUCAUUAAUCCAUUGGUCAGUCACCUUUUUUCCACGGAAACUCAGCUGCGUCAUCUUGACUGUUGUGUUCGUUUUCUAGCUUCCCCCACUUGUGAACCAUGGAUUCUUUCAUCUUGAAUUCUCCCGCAGCUGCUCCCAUGUUCCUCUGCGUAGCUGAUAGCUGGCAGUUUAAACUGUGCUCCAGCCAUGUUGUGAACGGUGUUGUUCACGCCCACACUUCCCUCCCCCGUUCUCAUGCCGUCUUCUUCUAUGCCACACAAAAACACAUUAGGCGCACUGCCUCAUAGAGUGCCCCCUACAGUUUGGAGAAAAUUUAAGACUUUUAGCCUUAUGGUAAUGAAAAUACGGUAAUCGAAUGGACUGGUCCUGACUUAGCACGUGUAAGCUAUGCUCUCUGAAUGUGCCUGAAGUCUAAACGUCCCAGAUCACCUACAAACUACAGUUUGACAGUCACAUCCUGGAAUGGCAGAGAUCUUUUCCAGACUAUUCAGGAAGCUACAGUCAUUCAUUUACACUUCAGUUAUUCAUGUAUUUAUUAAUAUAAUUUAAAUGACUCAGUCUCACCUUAAAUCUUCUACUUUGAAGGAUUUGUAAAUGAUUUCAGGUUCUAUUUAAACUGACAUUGAUCCCCAGAGAAGAUGCUGAAGCUUCUGCUGCUUAAAAUGAAACAUUUCCACGCUUAUGCAGUUCCACUUUUACAUAGCUGGGAUUUGUCAAGAAAAGAUGUGCUGCUUUGGAAAAAAGAACCUCUUACAUAACAGGCUGUGCUUUCUGUUGUUGUGUUACAGCAACCCCUUGUGGACAUAGAGGUAUUAUGUUCUCCUUUAUCCAGUUGUAGUGUCUAAAUGUGGGUCAUGCUCAAUUUUUUUGGUUUAAAAAAAUAGACAGAGUUUGGUCCAUGUUGACAUGAUGGCAUGUCAAGUUGCUGCACAUCCUUGAUGCCAAUCUCCCUUUCCACCACAUCCCAAAGGUGCUCUAUUGGGUUGAGAUCUGUGGAGGUCGUUUAAAUCCAGUGAACUUAUCGUUUUGUUCAAGAAACUAGUCUGAGAUGACAUUGUGCCUUAUCUUGCUGGAAGUAGCCAUCAGAAGAUGGAACACUUUGGACAUGGUCAGCAACAGUACUCAUGUAGGCUGUGGUGUUGGAACCAUGCUCAGCUGGUACUAAGGGGCCCAAAGUAUGCCAAGAAAAUAUCCCCCACACCAUGACACCACCACCAGCCUAGACCAUUGAUACAAGGCAGGAUGGAUCUAUGCUUUCAUGUUGUUGGCAUCAAAUUCUGACCCUAACAUCCAAAUGUGGCAGCAGAAAUGGAGACUCGUCAGACCGGACUAAGUUUUUCCAUCUUCUAUUGUCUAGUUUUGGGGAGCCUGGGUGAUUUGUAGCCUUAGUUUCCUGUUUUUAGUAGACAGGAGUGGCACCCGGUGUGGUCUUCUGCUGCUGUAGUCCUUCUGCCUCAAGUUUUGAUGUGUUGUGCGUUCAGAGAUGUUCUUCUGCAGACCUAAAUAUUUUCUCUUUUCGGACCAUUCUCUGUAAACCCUAGAGAUGGUUGUGGGUUAAAAUCCCAGUAGAUAGCAGUUUCAGAAAUCCUCAGACCAGCCUGUCAGGGACCAACAACCAUGCCACGUCCAAGGUCAUUUCAAUCACCUUUCUUCCUCAUUCUGAUGCUCUGUUUGAACAGCAGCAGAUUGUCUGGACCAUGUCCACAGGCCUAAAUGCAUUGAGUUGCUACCAUGUGAUUGGCUGAUUAGAAAUUAGCAUUAACGAGCAGUAAGACAGUAGGGUUGGGCUGAUAAAAUUGAUUAAUCGAUCUGAAUCAAUCCAAUUGUAAUAAAUCAAUAUAAAUCAUUAAUCGAUCCAUAAAAGUAGGGAUUGAUCUUUUAUGCCUUUCUUUUUCUGGUGACCUAACGCAUACCAGCAGUAAAGCCGAAGUCAGCUAGCUUGAUGCUAAGUAUAAUGGAAUUUUCCGUAGAAUGGCUAAUGCUAGCGCUUGUUCAACUGUAGUGUACAUUGCUGACUAUAUGAACAGCCUUAUAUACUCACAGGCAUGCAUUUUCCAUAUACAUUUUUUUUAAAGUAACCAUUUGUGGUCAAAUCUUCUAGAAUGAAGUGUAAUGUGCCAUAAGGCAAGCUCCACCUAGAGGCCAAACUGAAACGCCUCCAAGAGAGGCAUAUUAGCUAGUUUAGAGCCUUUACAAUGUUAGUGAUCUGCACAUUUUUGUUGGAGCUUCUCCGUUUAAGAAACCAUAUAACACUGUAUGGUGUUAACAAUCACAUUGGUUUAUUAUUUCACUAAUCAUUAUUAUAGCAUGUGAACUGUAUAAGAUUAUUAUGAAUAUCUUCAAAACUUAUAGAUUAUUAUUGUAUUUCUAUAAAAAUAUGACUAAAUGUUUAAUUUAAUUAAAUCGAAUUGAUUCAUGCUCUGGUGAAUUAAAUUGAAGUUAUUCUGGAAAUUAUUGGUGAUAGCCAGCCCUAGUGGCCAGUGAGUGUUCAUUCUAAAAAUAUGAGCCUUUGACAUUUUCAGCAGCUCUUUGUGCUGAAACUCAGCUUGCCUACCACAAGAGGGAGACAUUCUCACAUAUCAGGGUUCUGCAACCUGCAUCUCUGGAGCCACAUGCAUAGUGUUAUUUUUUUUUAAUAAAAUAGAUAAAUAAAAGGAUUUCAUUUUGAAAAGUAUCUGCUAAGUAAAGAAAAAAAAAGUAAUCUAACUCAAACUGUGUUUAACCCUUUCACAACAGUAGCACAGGAUGCAUCACAGAUUAAAAAAAAAAAACAUUUUUACAGAUUUUUGUCUGUCGUGUACCAAUGAAAAUCAAUUGAAGGAAACUGAACACAACUAGAAUCAAAGUGCACCAGACUAUUAGGCAGUUUAUAUAUAUAUAUAUAUAUAUAUAUAUAUAUAACAAAUUUAAGGAUUUUAAGUCCACCUUGUGGUUCAAAAAAUUAGGUUGAGGUAACGUAAUUAGCUCUGGUUUAAUUAUUGGAUAGUGGGACACUUUUUUGAAUUAGAUGUAAUCAAAAUGGUAAAAUAAACUAUGUGUUUUGGUUAUUUUUAAUCACUGUAAAGUACCUAGUGCUACAUUUAAUGAAUUCGGAUUAUCCUAUGUGACAAAGGGUGUCUUAUAUUUUGAAAGGAAGUCACAUGAACCUCUGUUAGAAGUUGUUAACUACUGUAUUUUAUUUUGGAAAAAAAUAUAGUAUUUUCCUCUUGAUGUUUGUGGUUUCUCUAUGCCAAAAAAACAUCAGUGUCUUGAUUUUUCUGAAGGGUGAAGUACGAAUUUCUGUUUCUUACUGGGUUGUGGCCAGUAAGAAAUCCACCCAAACGGGAUUUCAGACAACUGUCACAUAUGAAUGAGCUUCUUGGUCCAUGCACACAUCCUGUCAGAGAGUGUGCUUUACCACUCGGGUGAUUCAUAAUUUCAAAUUCCAGUGUGACUCUUUGAUUUUCCAAGAACGUCCAGAGAAGGAGACGAGGCUGUUGGCCCUUCCCAGCGUCUGAUCGAGGACAUAGAAACCGUCCUUUGUGGUAGACAAUGUAGAAGAGGUCAGCUGUGGCUUUACCAUGUCAGUUAUGGAAGAUUAAAUUAAUACUUAUUGCUCUUGGAACACAGUGUAAAUGUUAAGAUAUGUUAGGAAUCUUUGGGUUUUCCAUGUGAAGUUCAGGAUGUACGCUAAGUAUCCGUGGGAGCUGCUAACAGACAGCUGAGCUGUGAAAAAUGAGCGGCUGGCUUAAUAUUCUUGCUCUGUUUGGUCCGUUGGUGUGGACCGGGGUGCUCAUCAGGAAGUCUUGUUCGAAAAAAACGUUUUAUUUUGAAAAGUGACCGGAUUCUCUCUGUUACAUCCGUCACACUUAACGCAC
Molecule: long non-coding RNA, 5058 nt
Filed under: Oryzias sinensis (Chinese medaka)
Lineage: Eukaryota; Metazoa; Chordata; Actinopteri; Beloniformes; Adrianichthyidae
Description: lncRNA (ENSOSIG00000007312.1)
Source: RNAcentral